UCUACAUUCUGAAUCUCGAGGAAGUGCCAACGCAGCAAUAGCGAGACCCCAGCGAAAUAUCCCCGGAUGAAGCCGCUCCGAGCGGGGUGCAGGGAGACCGAAUCACGCCCUGUCGUGGAGCCCCUCCGAGCUGGAGGAAGGCGGUAAAAAAAACUAACCCGGGUCCAUCCUUCCAUCCAUCCACCAUAGAGAUGCAGAAAUUCCUGUUGUAUCAGGGAGACGAUAUAAACAAAAACAAGGUAGGGUGUCAACUCAUACACAUCAGUGGAUUGGGUUCAAUGCAGGACCUGCCCCAGUUAAUGUGGAUCUGUGUGUAUUUAUGCUUUUGUGUGUUGUCCUGUGUCCACAGUGGACGUCAAUGUCCAAAGAGGACAAAGAACCAUAUUUUGAAAGGGCCAAAAGGGAGAAGGAGCUCCACAAACACAAAUUCCCUGACUGGACAUCGUCCGACAACUAUGUAAAUACUGUACACUAUGCUCACAGACAUAAUUUCUACAGCCACAUUAUGCAACAAGGUCACUCCAGCUGCUGUCAGAUGGAGAGUCUGACAUGUUUGUGUUUGUUUACAUGGGAAAAAGAAGAAGAGGAUGAGGUGGAAAGAGCCUAAUAAUUAGAUGGAGUUCAUCCGAGUCCAUUGUUCAUUGUUGAUGGAUUUACAUUAAAUUUUGUAAAAAAGGUUUGUUAAGUUUUGGUUUGACUUCCACCCAAAUGUUCAGGGGCCCCCGGAGGCUGGCUCCAGUGGAGUAUGUGGUGUUUGCUCUCUUACUGAUGCCUGGGUGAACGUGGGCCAGAGAAGCUCCAGGGAAUCUCUUACUAAAAUAACGUCAGAGACAGAGUGAACCUCUUCAGUUCAACGGUCAACAAAAUGGAUGUUUACACCUAGAACUACGUGACUCUGAAUCUUGAGGAAGAGGUGAAACAACAGCACUAGCAGCAGCAGCAGCGAGACCCCACCAAUCCCCAGGGUGAAGCCCCUCCGAGCGGGCAGCAGGAAGACGUCACCAAGCCCCCUGCAAACCAACUGCAGCUUCUGCUCUGAUCACUGAGCAGCUGAGACCAGAGAAACUCUGUGUUUCCACUGUUCUUCUACAAAGUCACUGACCGGCUGCUUCACGUGAACGAGCUGUGACCUCACUGCGUGUGUCGCUGUGAGUGAGUUUACUCCACUGCAGCUCGUUCAGGCAGUAACUGAAACCUUGUGUCUGUUCAUGUCUCUAGUUCAAGAAGGUCCCUGUUGGAAAUUUCCCUCAGGGCCAGGGGAUCCUAGAGCCCAUUGGAUCCCUGCAAGUAUCCCACACAGAAAUGCAAAGAAACACACAACUCUCUGUGAGCCUCUGUGUGUAUCUUCCAACCCACUUGUUCACUCAGCUAAUGUGUCUCCCUGAUUGUGUCUAUGUAGACAGGGAAUAGUGAUUUAUAGAUUUCACCAAUCAAAGGCUCCUCCAGCGAUCUGCCCCCCUCCUGAAAAGAAAAAGGUUCAACAUAGCCAGAGCCCUACAAGGCCCUACAUAAAAAAGCCGAAGAUGCCUUCAUCUUUUUUUUAAAAGAAAGGAGGCUGCGGCGUUUGUCUGGGGAGAAGAAGGACUCAGCGGGCACUAACGUAGACCUUGGACUGGAAUGAACCAAACUAAAUUGGAAAAGAGGAUUUCCAGCACUUCAUGUCACAAAUGCACUGUGGGAGGUUUCAAUGCAGGACCUGCACCAGCUAAUGUGGAUCUGUGUGUAUUUAUGCCGAUGUCCAAAGAAGAGCAGGCAAAAUAUGAAACAGCAGCUCAGAGGGAGAGGCUGAUCCACCGUGAAAACUUCAGCCACAUUAUGCAACAAGGUCACUGCAGCUGCUGUCAGAUGGAGAGUCUGACAUGUUCGUGUUUGUUUACAC
This is a long non-coding RNA of Limanda limanda (common dab), 1879 nucleotides long. RefSeq lists it as uncharacterized. NCBI's taxonomy places the organism in Eukaryota, Metazoa, Chordata, Actinopteri, Pleuronectiformes, Pleuronectidae. The record is from RefSeq and is a predicted model, not a curated record. The transcript has 3 exons.